Molecule: ribosomal RNA, 253 nt
Filed under: uncultured bacterium
Lineage: Bacteria
Description: partial 16S ribosomal RNA
Rfam family: Bacterial small subunit ribosomal RNA
Source: RNAcentral
UACGUAGGGUGCAAGCGUUGUCCGGAAUUAUUGGGCGUAAAGAGCUCGUAGGCGGUCUGUCGCGUCGGCUGUGAAAACUCGGGGCUCAACCCCGAGCCUGCAGUCGAUACGGGCAGACUAGAGUGCGGUAGGGGAGACUGGAAUUCCUGGUGUAGCGGUGAAAUGCGCAGAUAUCGGAAGGAACAUCAGUGGCGAAAGCGGCUUCCUGGACCAGAACUGACGAUCAGGCUCGAAAGCGUGGGGAGCAAACAGG